Molecule: unclassified non-coding RNA, 314 nt
Filed under: Hypholoma fasciculare
Lineage: Eukaryota; Fungi; Basidiomycota; Agaricomycetes; Agaricales; Strophariaceae
Description: partial internal transcribed spacer region
Rfam family: Eukaryotic small subunit ribosomal RNA (bases 1-46)
Source: RNAcentral
AAGUCGUAACAAGGUUUCCGUAGGUGAACCUGCGGAAGGAUCAUUAUUGAAUAAAUCUGGCUUGGUUGAUGCUGGUCUUUUCGAAGAUAUGUGCACACCUUGUCAUCUUUAUAUCUCCACCUGUGCACCUCUUGUAGACCUGGAUUUAACUUUCCGAGGAAACUCGGUUGUGAGGAAUUGCUUAAUAGGCUUUCCUUGUUUGUUUCCAGGGCUAUGUUUUCAUAUACACCUUAUGAAUGUAACAGAAUGUCAUUAUUAGGCUUAAUUGUCUUAUAAACUAUAUACAACUUUCAGCAACGGAUCUCUUGGCUCUC